RNAcentral lists this ribosomal RNA (255 nucleotides) under uncultured bacterium. RNAcentral's name for it is "partial 16S ribosomal RNA". It matches the Rfam family "Bacterial small subunit ribosomal RNA", at positions 524 to 776 of the family's 1533-position model. The record is from RNAcentral.
GACGGAGGAUGCAAGUGUUAUCCGGAAUCACUGGGCGUAAAGCGUCUGUAGGUGGUUCGAAAAGUCCACUGUUAAAAAAUUUGAGGCUUAACUUCAAAGAUGCCGUGGAAACUUUCAAACUAGAGUAUGGUAGGGGUAGAGGGAAUUUCCAGUGGAGCGGUGAAAUGCGUAGAUAUUGGAAAGACCACCGAUGGCGAAGGCACUCUACUGGGCCAUUACUGACACUGAGAGACGAAAGCUAGGGGAGCAAAUGGG